Molecule: long non-coding RNA, 799 nt
Filed under: Nicotiana benthamiana
Lineage: Eukaryota; Viridiplantae; Streptophyta; Magnoliopsida; Solanales; Solanaceae
Description: long non-coding RNA (NBEN_LNC006917)
Source: RNAcentral
ACAGAGAAAUCAAUUGCAGAUAAACAAUCAAACAUAGAAAAUAAUUGGAGUGCAUUCCAUCAUCACCCAACAUCCACAAAUAUAGAAUAAACAUUCAAAAAGCAGAGAAUCAGACUUUUAGUUUAGCUUUUCCAAUUAACGAGAACCUCCAACGUUACAAAUUCUGUUUGGAUGCAAAAUUGUUGUGGGACGAAGACUGGAACCAGAACCACGGACGCUGGUGAACUUCGAAUUCAGAGCUCGAACGGACCUCAAAUAGUAGGAAACCUCAGACUACAAUCUCUACUCUACUGGCUGAACGUUGCAGCUGCUGAUGCACCACCAACGUGUGCUAAGGUAGUAGCAGCAGUAGGUAUCGAGAGAAAAGUAGAAGCUCGAAUGAGUGAAAGGAUCGACGAAGCUUGAAAAUCUGAUGUGUGCCUGAUUUCCAGCGUUCUUUGUGUGUGUGUCUGUUUACCUGGGUGUGUGUUGUGGUUGAAGGUUCCGAAAAAAAGAGGAGGGAUUCCUUUAUUGUGGUAGGGGAUUCAAGAGUAGUUUUCCGCCGAUGAUGAAAUCCGGCAGCGGCAGUAACGGUCGUAAAUCUCUUAUGAGAGAAGCUUCGUUUGGAUGGUAGACGAGUGGUCUAGGUUCAAAAUGGAGAGGGUGGAAACAGGUUGAAGAAGGAGAAAGGUCAUUGGUUGAGGGCUGGUGGUGGUUGUGAUCGUUUGGUGUUUGUGGUGUGUAUUUGAGAGGAGGGAGUUGGUGCGUUUUUUAUGAUGUGAAGAAGCAGCCGCUGAUGGAGUUAGGUUGGAAGAUGGCC